GAAACCUCUCAACCACCCUCAAAGGUGGCUUGGAAAUGGGGGAACUGUUGCAGGCUCAGCCAGAGUCUGCUCCCCUGAAAUGCAUUAGUGGUGUCUGGGCUGACUGCCACAGGUGUGAUAACUAUCAGUGCCUUGGUGGAAACCUUUGCUGCUUUCCAACUUCUAUGAUGACCA
Molecule: unclassified non-coding RNA, 174 nt
Filed under: uncultured Inocybe
Lineage: Eukaryota; Fungi; Basidiomycota; Agaricomycetes; Agaricales; Cortinariaceae
Description: sequence contains ITS2
Source: RNAcentral